Molecule: ribosomal RNA, 269 nt
Filed under: uncultured prokaryote
Description: partial 16S ribosomal RNA
Rfam family: Bacterial small subunit ribosomal RNA
Source: RNAcentral
GACGAAGGUGACAAGCGUUGUUCGGUAUCACUGGGCUUAAAGCGUGUGUAGGCGGAAUGGUAAGCGUCAUGUGAAAUCCCCCGGCUUAACCGGGGAACUGCUUGACGAACUGCUGUUCUUGAGGCAAGUAGGGGUGCACGGAACUCUUGGUGGAGCGGUGAAAUGCGUAGAUAUCAAGAGGAACGCCGGUGGAGAAAUCGGUGCACUGGGCUUGUCCUGACGCUGAGACACGAAAGCGUGGGGAGCGAACGGGAUUAGAUACCCCCGUA